Molecule: long non-coding RNA, 490 nt
Organism: Danio aesculapii
Lineage: Eukaryota; Metazoa; Chordata; Actinopteri; Cypriniformes; Danionidae
Exons: 4
Source: RefSeq, a predicted model, not a curated record
AAUAUGCCGCUGAUGUUUCUGUGACAUUUUAUUGGCUUACGAGGCUCACGUGCUCCAAGGUUAGCGUGAGACUUUUGCGACAUUGUGGGAACGCCCAAUGCUUUACUUUUGGCGCCACAAAUUACUGCAGUGAGUGAGGACGGGAUUUUAACUUCAAGCUUUCGGCACUCGGCAGUUAUCAGCACAUCUGUUGUCACGGUUAUUCAUAGAAAUCUGGCCUGUACUUAAGAUGGAAUCUAAGAUGUAGUUGUAUGCAGGGUUCCAACGGAUUACAAACCACGUUCUACUCUGAGUUUGACCGACAUCUUCCUAGCCUGAUGACCCUAUUCAGAUAGAAGGCAGCCAGAACCGGGAAGACAUCAGAUUCUUUAAGUGAAAUCUUAAGAGUCCAUGAUGAACAGGAGUUCCAUGACAUGCACAUCAAGUGUGUCACUGUUGUUCAUGCCCUUCCGGUGUAUCUACGUGUGGAAAUCACUGGGUUUUUAAGGAC